This 60-nucleotide transfer RNA is filed under the name Dipylidium caninum. Its description in RNAcentral is "tRNA-Arg". The record is from RNAcentral. Lineage: Eukaryota; Metazoa; Platyhelminthes; Cestoda; Cyclophyllidea; Dipylidiidae.
GACAUAUUAAGGUCUUAUGUUACGGCCAUAAGGUAGGUACGAUUUUAGCACCAUAUGUUU